AUACGUAGGGGGCGAGCGUUGUCCGGAAUUACUGGGCGUAAAGGGUGCGUAGGUGGCACUUUAAGUUGGAUGUGAAAUCCCCGUGCUUAACUUGGGAGCUGCAUCCAAUGCUGGAGAGCUAGAGUGCAGGAGAGGUAAGCGGAAUUCCUAGUGUAGCGGUGAAAUGCGUAGAUAUUAGGAGGAACACCAGUGGCGAAGGCGGCUUACUGGACAGUAACUGACGCUGAGGCGCGAAAGCGUGGGGAGCAAACAGGAUUAGAUACCCUGGUAGUCCACACUGUGAACGAUGAAUGCUAGGUGUAGGGGGUAUCGACCCCUUCUGUGCCGCAGUCAACACAAUAAGCAUUCCGCCUGGGGAGUACGGCCGCAAGGUUGAAACUCAAAUGAAUGGGCGGGG
This 397-nucleotide ribosomal RNA is filed under the name uncultured bacterium. Its description in RNAcentral is "partial 16S ribosomal RNA". It matches the Rfam family "Bacterial small subunit ribosomal RNA", at positions 523 to 918 of the family's 1533-position model. The record is from RNAcentral.